Molecule: ribosomal RNA, 460 nt
Filed under: uncultured bacterium
Lineage: Bacteria
Description: partial 16S ribosomal RNA
Rfam family: Bacterial small subunit ribosomal RNA
Source: RNAcentral
CCUACGGGCGGCAGCAGUGAGGAAUAUUGGUCAAUGGACGAGAGUCUGAACCAGCCAAGUAGCGUGAAGGAUGACUGCCCUAUGGGUUGUAAACUUCUUUUAUAUGGGAAUAAAAUGUUCCACGUGUGGGAGUUUGUAUGUACCAUAUGAAUAAGGAUCGGCUAACUCCGUGCCAGCAGCCGCGGUAAUACGGAGGAUCCGAGCGUUAUCCGGGUUUAUUGGGUUUAAAGGGAGCGUAGGUGGAUUGUUAAGUCAGUUGUGAAAGUUUGCGGCUCAACCGUAAAAUUGCAGUUGAAACUGGCAGUCUUGAGUACAGUAGAGGUGGGCGGAAUUCGUGGUGUAGCGGUGAAAUGCUUAGAUAUCACGAAGAACUCCGAUUGCGAAGGCAGCUCACUGGACUGCAACUGACACUGAGGCUCGAAAGUGUGGGUAUCAAACAGGAUUAGAUACCCUUGUAGUC